ACACUGGACAUCAAUCAAACCAAACAAAAUCAAUUGUUUGCUGACUGCUGAGUCCAUUUGCAUUUGAAAAUCAAUUGGCUACCCAGUUGCUCUUAAAAAUAUAGAAUGGAUCGAUUUUGAAUCAACAAAAUGUACGUCGUCUUGUUUUUUCUCCACCGUGAUUGGCUAGCUGUGACCUGCCCGGUAGGUCUAUACUUUGAAUAAAGAAAGAUUCCUGCAAGAAAGGGUUGUUAGGUUAUAUAGAGCUGGGUCAUGGCAUCUCUCAAGCAAGUGGCUCUAAAGAACUUCUGUGAAUAAUUGCCUUCUCAGCCCUUCCUAUUGAGUCUUCGACCUUGGCGACCAGGUCUUCCCCUAAUUAACCAGAGUCAGAUCCACUUGGCGGCCAGGUCUUCCCCUAACCAGAGUCUGCUCCACUGCACUCAACCACUCAAUUAACAGAUCCGAUUCUAUCUGUUGGCUGGUUUAGCUAUUGGACUACUGCAAUCGAGGUUGGAAGAUCAUUCUACUCUCUCUUCUCGCUCCUUUUUUUUGGGAUUUCCCUGAAGGUUCAAGCGUGCUGCGCUGGAGGAGAAAAGAAGACCACCCUAUCUCCUUGGGUUGUUUACUUGAUCACUUAUUGCUGUUUUGAUUGUACAUACUUCAAAGAUACUACCCCUGUCUCUAAAUACAAGAAAAUGCAUCUUUAAUCUUCUCUAUAUUGAUCAAAUGAUCGGCCAGAUUUUGGCCAAAUAAACUAUGGGCUUUCACAUUAAGCAGGCACCCUGAAGAUCAGCGAGCCACCUACAAAUAUCCAAUAGGAAUGUAACUGCAAAUGGCUAAAAGGGAUUCCCAAUCAAUUGUUACACGAAGUGAGCUGGAGGGCAUGCUUCGUGAUGAAACGGCAGGACCGAAGGCAACGCCAUUGUCACUUCUGGCAGAAAUAACUUACGGUUUCUCACAUAAGCAGAAAAUUGGCCAAGGUGGGUCUGCAGUUGUUUACCAGGGAAUACUUCAGAAAGGGAAUGUCGCUGUGAAGAGUCUGUCUAAUCCGUAUGUGCAUGAGAAGGAGUUCAAACGAGAAGUUGAAUGUCUCAUGAUAGCAAAGCACAAAAAUGUAGUACGGUUUCUAGGAUAUUGUGCUGACACACAAGGAAGAGCGGAAAAGUACGAGGGGGAAUUUGUCAUUGCAGAUGUACAACAAAAAUUGCUCUGCUUCGAGUAUCUUCCUAAAGGGAGUCUUGAUAAGUAUAUCACUGGUAGGAUCAUAGGCAUGCAAAAUUUCUUUUAAUCUUCAUCUUCAUUUUUAAAGAUUAUAUGGAGUAUCUCAAAGACGGUACUCACCAUGUUAUUGCUAUCUAUACAUUCGAAUGUUGAGCUCUUUUACGGUGAUUGGCGAGUA
Long non-coding RNA from Brachypodium distachyon (stiff brome), 1378 nucleotides. RefSeq lists it as uncharacterized. Lineage: Eukaryota; Viridiplantae; Streptophyta; Magnoliopsida; Poales; Poaceae. The transcript has 6 exons. The record is from RefSeq and is a predicted model, not a curated record.